AAAGCUCAAAUUUGAAAUCUGGCGCCUUCGGUGUCCGAGUUGUGAUUUGAAGAUUGUAACCUUGGGGUUGGCUCUUGUCUAUGUUUCUUGGAACAGGACGUCACAGAGGGUGAGAAUCCCGUGCGAUGAGAUGCCCAAUUCUAUGUAAGGUGCUUUCUAAGAGUCGAGUUGUUUGGGAAUGCAUGCUCUUAGUGGGGGGUGAAUUCCAUCUAAAGCUAAAUAUUGUCGAGAGACCGAUAGCGAACAAGUACAGCGAUGGAAAGAUGAAAAGAACUUUGAAAAGAGAGUGAAAAAGUACGUGAAAUUGUUGAAAGGGAAGGGUUUGAGAUCAGACUCCAUAUUUUGUGAGCCUUGCCUUCGUGGCGGGGUGACCCGCAUCUUAUCGGGCCAGCAUCGGUUUGGGCGGUAGGAUAAUGGCGUAAGAAUGUGACUUUACUUCGGUGAACUGUUAAGCCUGCGUUGAUGCUGCCUGCCUGACCGAGGACUGCGAUUUUCUUUGGAUGCUGGCAUAAUGAUCCCAAUGGCCCGAUU
RNAcentral lists this ribosomal RNA (531 nucleotides) under Meyerozyma guilliermondii. RNAcentral describes it as "eukaryotic LSU rRNA". It matches the Rfam family "Eukaryotic large subunit ribosomal RNA", at positions 104 to 654 of the family's 3401-position model. The record is from RNAcentral. Lineage: Eukaryota; Fungi; Ascomycota; Pichiomycetes; Serinales; Debaryomycetaceae.